UACAGAGGUCCCAAGCGUUGUUCGGAUUUACUGGGCGUAAAGGGUGCGUAGGCGGCAGGGAAAGUUCGGGGUGAAAUCUCCAGGCUCAACUUGGAAACUGCCUUGAAUACUUCCAUGCUCGAGGGCCGAAGAGGAGAUUGGAAUUCUCGGUGUAGCAGUGAAAUGCGUAGAUAUCGAGAGGAACAUCAGUGGCGAAAGCGAAUCUCUGGUCGGCAUCUGACGCUGAGGCACGAAAGCCAGGGGAGCAAACGGG
This 253-nucleotide ribosomal RNA is filed under the name uncultured bacterium. RNAcentral's name for it is "partial 16S ribosomal RNA". It matches the Rfam family "Bacterial small subunit ribosomal RNA", at positions 524 to 776 of the family's 1533-position model. The record is from RNAcentral.